RNAcentral lists this long non-coding RNA (2213 nucleotides) under Olea europaea subsp. europaea. The record is from RNAcentral. Lineage: Eukaryota; Viridiplantae; Streptophyta; Magnoliopsida; Lamiales; Oleaceae.
UUUUUACGUGUGUUAGGCUGCAUGUGUUUCCCUUGCCUUCUGCCCUAUAACAAACACAAAUCAAACUUUCGAUCAACCCCGUGUACAUUCAUUGGUUACAGUCAUAACCACAAAGGGUAUAAGUGCUUAGCACCUGAUGGAAUGAUUUUCAUAUCUCGUCAUGUAGUGUUCAAUGAGAAAACUUUACCUUAUGCUUCACAAAAGUCUUCUACAAUUUCUAGUGUCAGUCAACCUCCUCCAGUCAUAUGUCCACCUAUGCAAUCAACUCAUCUUGGACAAUCUUCUACUACUUCUUUGCUAAGAACAUUACCAACCAUGAUUUCUCACAGCAAAACUCACUAGCACCUCACUCCCUAACACACUCUAUGUCAUCGUCGUUCCCUAGUGAAUCAACUACCGAGCUAGAACCAUUGCCUGCUAUCCUGCCUUCACCAUCAGAAUCAUCAUCUAUGUCUCCACCACCUACUAACACUCAUCAUAUGGUCACACGAUCCAAGGCUGGAAUCUUUAAACCUAAAGUUCUUCUCACGACCGACCUACAAAACAACAAACCAAACUCUUUCAAAGAAGCUCUCAAAUGUCCUCAAUGGAAUAUGGCAAUGCAUGAGGAAUAUACUGCAUUAAUUAACAAUGGUAUUUGGAACUUAGUCUCUUUGCUCCCAGACAGAAAGUUGAUUGGCAACAAAUGGGUGUUUAAACUCAAGAGAAAUCCUGAUGGUUCUAUCUCUCGAUACAAGGUGCGACUAGUUGCAAAAGGUUACCAUCAAUUUCCUGGCUUUGAUUACUCAGAUGUUUUUAGUCCUGUAGUGAAACCAGUAACCAUACGUGCGGUUCUCUCCAUUGUUAUUACUCGUGGAUGGCAGGUACGUCAACUUGAUGUAAAUAAUGUAUUUCUUAAUGGCAUAUUGCUUGAAGAUAUAUAUAUAUAUAUAUAUGGCUCAACCCCCUAGAUUUGAAGCUCCUGCACCACAUGAUAGGUUGGUCUGUAAGCUCAAUAAAGCUUUGUAUAGAUUAAAACAAGCCUCUCGAGUGUGGUUUGAUCGUUUGAAAACUUACCUAUUGUCUCUUGGUUUUCAUGCUUCUCGAGCAGAUACUUCUCUUGUUAUCAAAUGCAAUGACACAUUGUGUGUGUAGAUGAUAUAUUGAUUACUAGUAGCAGCAGUCCAAAAAUUGAGUAUCUGAUUUCUUAUUUACACUCUGAAUUUUCCUUGAAAGAUCUGGGAAGUCUUCAUUAUUUUUUAGGGAUUGAGGUGAAACAUACUACUACUGGUAGUCUGUUAUUGUCUCAAGAGAGGUAUAUCAAGGAUCUCCUCGAUCUAGUUAAGAUGAGCAAUUCUAAACCACAACCAACACCCAUGGUGGCAAGUCUGUCCUUCACUUCCUCUUAUGGUGAUCCAUUUGGAGAUCCAACUUUACAUCGAAGCACUGUUGGGACAUUGCAAUACGUAACAAUCACUAGGCCUGAAAUAGCAUGUUGUGUAAAUAAAGUAUGUCAAUUCAUGCAAUCUCCUCUUGAACCGCAUUGGAAGGCAAUUAAACGCAUUCUUCGAUAUCUUUGUGGUACUGCAAAUCAUGGUCUCCACUUCUCCAAGUCAAAUAACCUUUAUCUUCAUGGAUUUUCAGAUUCUGAUUGGGCACGGGACUUAGAUGACCAUCGCUCCACUUCUGGUUAUUGUUUAUUUCUUGGAGAUAAUCUAGUUUCAUGGAGCUCAAAGAAACAAUCUACCGUCUCAUGCUCAAGUACUGAAGCUGAAUACCGUAGCUUAGCUAAUGCUACUUCUGAAUUAAUAUGGUUGCAAUCUUUACUUAAGGAGCUUCGAAUCUAUCAAACUAAAAUUCCAGUCAUCUGAUGUGAUAAUCUGAGCACAGUGGCACUUAGUGCUAAUUCAGUUUUACAUUCUCGUACAAAGCAUUUGGAGCUUGACCUUUACUUUGUUAGGGAACGAGUUCUUAAUAACACUCUUGCUGUCCAGCAUGUUCCCGCAUUAGAUCAAGUUGCAGACAUCCUCACAAAACCUCUUGCUGUUCAACAUUUUACUUGGUUGAAGCACAAACUCAGGGUUCUUUCUCCUACCACCCUUCGUUUGCGGGGAAAUAUUAGCAAAGAACAAAUCUGACCUGCUGAUACUUGCAAAUCCAUUGUAAAUUGGUAUUUGUAAAUGUGUACACCUGUUGCAAUCACAAUGCAUUUAGUUAGGCAAUUAGGAAACGUG